AUGGACGCCGCACUCACCCCCUCCCCGGCAGCCACGACCGACGAUGAGCUCGUCUACGAGUCCAUGCCCUGCAUCCGCAUCUACAGGAACCGCGUGGAGCGCUACCUCGGCUCCGAGUUCGUCGCCGCUUCCACGGACGCCGCCACCGGAGUUACCUCCCGCGACCGCACCAUCUCCCCUCAGGUCUACGCGCGCCUCUACCUCCCCCGCCUCGACGCGGCCGCCAAGCUCCCCGUCCUCGUCUACUACCACGGCGGCGGGUUCUGCCUAGGCUCCGCUUUCAACCCCAUGUUCCACGCCUACCUCAACAACUUGGUCGCGCUCGCCAACGUCCUCGUCGUCUCCGUCGAGUACCGCCUCGCGCCGGAGCACCCCGUCCCCGCUGCAUAUGCCGACUCAUGGGAGGCUCUCACCUGGGCCGUGUCCCACGUUGACGAGCCUUGGCUUGCCGACCACGCCGACUUCUCCCGCCUCUACCUCGGGGGCGACAGCUCCGGCGCCAACAUCGCGCACCACAUGGCGAUGCGGGUGGGCGCGGAGGGGCUGGCCCGGGGCGCCAAGAUCCACGGCCUCGUCAUGAUCCACCCCUACUUCCUGGGGAGCAACAAGGUGGGCUCCGACGACCUGGACCCCACGGCGCGGGAGACCCUAGCGAGCGCAUGGCGGAUCAUGUGCCCGACGACCACGGGGGAGGACGACCCGCGAAUCAACCCGUUGGUCGACGGCGUGCCGGGCCUUGAGGCCCUGGCAUCCGGCCGCGUGCUCGUGUGCAUUGCCGAGGGCGACGUGCUCCGCGACCGCGGCCGCGCUUACUACGACCGGCUGAGGGCGAGCGGGUGGAGCGGGGAGACGGACAUAUGGCAGGCGCCGGGAAAGGGGCACACGUUCCACCUCCUUGAGCCGUGCUGCCAAGAGGCCGUCGCGCAGGACAAGGUCAUCGCCGAGUUCCUCAACUGUUGA
RNAcentral lists this ribosomal RNA (960 nucleotides) under Triticum aestivum (bread wheat). RNAcentral describes it as "partial small subunit ribosomal RNA". Lineage: Eukaryota; Viridiplantae; Streptophyta; Magnoliopsida; Poales; Poaceae. The record is from RNAcentral.